This 638-nucleotide ribosomal RNA is filed under the name uncultured bacterium. Its description in RNAcentral is "bacterial SSU rRNA". It matches the Rfam family "Bacterial small subunit ribosomal RNA", at positions 202 to 842 of the family's 1533-position model. The record is from RNAcentral.
GAAAGAAUAUCGGAGACGGAUGGGCAUGCGGCGCAUUAGCUGGUUGGCGGGGUAACGGCCCACCAAGGCGACGAUGCGUAGGGGUUCUGAGAGGAAGGUCCCCCACACUGGUACUGAGACACGGACCAGACUCCUACGGGAGGCAGCAGUGAGGAAUAUUGGUCAAUGGGCGAGAGCCUGAACCAGCCAAGUCGCGUGGGGGAGUACUGCCCUAUGGGUUGUAAACCUCUUUUGUCGGGGAGCAAAAGCCGGACGUGUCCGGCUGUGAGAGUACCCGAAGAAAAAGCAUCGGCUAACUCCGUGCCAGCAGCCGCGGUAAUACGGAGGAUGCGAGCGUUAUCCGGAUUUAUUGGGUUUAAAGGGUGCGCAGGCGGAUUUUUAAGUCAGCGGUCAAAUCGUGGGGCUCAACCCCAUCCAGCCGUUGAAACUGGGGAUCUAGAGUGUGCGAGAGGUAUGCGGAAUGCGUGGUGUAGCGGUGAAAUGCAUAGAUAUCACGCAGAACCCCGAUUGCGAAGGCAGCAUACCGGUGCACAACUGACGCUCAGGCACGAAAGCGUGGGUAUCGAACAGGAUUAGAUACCCUGGUAGUCCACGCAGUAAACGAUGAAUGCUACCUGUUUGGCCAGAUUGAUGGCUGA